This 562-nucleotide ribosomal RNA is filed under the name uncultured bacterium. RNAcentral describes it as "partial 16S ribosomal RNA". It matches the Rfam family "Bacterial small subunit ribosomal RNA", at positions 355 to 1375 of the family's 1533-position model. The record is from RNAcentral.
UGGGGAAUAUUGGACAAUGGGCGCAAGCCUGAUCCAGCCAUGCCGCGUGAGUGAUGAAGGCCUUAGGGUUGUAAAGCUCUUUCGCCGGUGAAGAUAAUGACGGUAACCGGAGAAGAAGCCCCGGCUAACUUCGUGCCAGCAGCCGCGGUAAUACGAAGGGGGCUAGCGUUGCUCGGAAUCACUGGGCGUAAAGCGCACGUAGGCGGAUCGUUAAGUCAGGGGUGAAAUCCUGGAGCUCAACUCCAGAACUGCCCUUGAUACUGGCGAUCUCGAGUUCGAGAGAGGUUGGUGGAACUCCGAGUGUAGAGGUGAAAUUCGUAGAUAUUCGGAAGAACACCAGUGGCGAAGGCGGCCAACUGGCUCGAUACUGACGCUGAGGUGCGAAAGCGUGGGGAGCAAAACAGGAUUAGAUACCCUGGUAGUCCACGCCGUAAACGAUGGAUGCUAGCCGUUGGGGGGUUUACCUCUCAGUGGCGCAGCUAACGCCUUAAGCAUCCCGCCUGGGGAGUACGGUCGCAAGAUUAAAACUUAAAUGAAUUGACGGGGUCAUAGCUGUUUUCCU